This 983-nucleotide ribosomal RNA is filed under the name Octospora humosa. RNAcentral describes it as "SSU rRNA". It matches the Rfam family "Eukaryotic small subunit ribosomal RNA", at positions 87 to 1082 of the family's 1831-position model. Lineage: Eukaryota; Fungi; Ascomycota; Pezizomycetes; Pezizales; Pyronemataceae. The record is from RNAcentral.
CUGCGAACGGCUCAUUAAAUCAGUUAUCGUUUAUUUGAUAGUACCUUACUACUUGGAUAACCGUGGUAAUUCUAGAGCUAAUACAUGCUAAAAGUCCCGACCUCCGGAAGGGACGUAUUUAUUAGAUAAAAAACCAAUGCCUUCGGGCUUUUUGGUGAUUCAUGAUAACUUUACGAAUCGCAUGGCCUUGUGCCGGCGAUGGUUCAUUCAAAUUUCUGCCCUAUCAACUUUCGAUGGUAGGAUAGUGGCCUACCAUGGUUUCAACGGGUAACGGGGAAUUAGGGUUCGAUUCCGGAGAGGGAGCCUGAGAAACGGCUACCACAUCCAAGGAAGGCAGCAGGCGCGCAAAUUACCCAAUCCCGACACGGGGAGGUAGUGACAAUAAAUACUGAUACAGGGCCCAUUUGGGUCUUGUAAUUGGAAUGAGUACAAUUUAAAGCCUUUAACGAGGAACAAUUGGAGGGCAAGUCUGGUGCCAGCAGCCGCGGUAAUUCCAGCUCCAAUAGCGUAUAUUAAAGUUGUUGCAGUUAAAAAGCUCGUAGUUGAACCUUGGGUCUGGGUGACCGGUCUGCCUCACCGCAUGUACUGGAAACCCGGAUCUUUCCUUCUGGAGAACCGCAUGCCCUUCACUGGGUGUGUUGGGGAACCAGGACUUUUACUUUGAAAAAAUUAGAGUGUUCAAAGCAGGCAUUUGCUCGAAUACAUUAGCAUGGAAUAAUAGAAUAGGACGUGCGGUCCUAUUUUGUUGGUUUCUAGGACCGCCGUAAUGAUUAAUAGGGAUAGUCGGGGGCAUCCGUAUUCGAUUGUCAGAGGUGAAAUUCUUGGAUUUUUCGAAGACGAACUACUGCGAAAGCAUUUGCCAAGGAUGUUUUCAUUAAUCAGGAACGAAAGUUGAGGGAUCGAAGACGAUCAGAUACCGUCGUAGUCUCAACCAUAAACUAUGCCGACUAGGGAUCGGGCGAUGUUUAAAUCUGACUCGCUCG